CGGCGGACGGGUGAGUAACGCGUGGGUAACCUGCCCUGUACACACGGAUAACAUACCGAAAGGUAUGCUAAUACGGGAUAACAUAAGAAAUUCGCAUGUUUUUCUUAUCAAAGCUCCGGCGGUACAGGAUGGACCCGCGUCUGAUUAGCUAGUUGGUGAGGUAAUGGCUCACCAAGGCGACGAUCAGUAGCCGACCUGAGAGGGUGAUCGGCCACAUUGGAACUGAGACACGGUCCAAACUCCUACGGGAGGCAGCAU
Molecule: ribosomal RNA, 258 nt
Filed under: uncultured bacterium
Lineage: Bacteria
Description: partial 16S ribosomal RNA
Rfam family: Bacterial small subunit ribosomal RNA
Source: RNAcentral